RNAcentral lists this long non-coding RNA (1300 nucleotides) under Canis lupus dingo (dingo). RNAcentral describes it as "lncRNA (ENSCAFG00020005549.1)". The record is from RNAcentral. Lineage: Eukaryota; Metazoa; Chordata; Mammalia; Carnivora; Canidae.
GCGCACCCUCGGGGCCGCUCGCGGGUUCUGCGGGGGGCGGGCGCCUGGCAGGGCAGCCACGUCACCCCUCGGCGGCUGCGCAGUGCGGGGAGGGGGCGGGGCGCGCGACCGGAUGCGGUCACCAUAGAGACGGGGACUGACGGCGAGCGGAAGAGGAAGGCGCGGGCCGGGCUGUGAGGUGGCAGCGGCUGCAGCGGCGGAACCGGCGCCUCGGCCCGGCACUGGGGACUAGACUUGGUCUUUGGUCGCCGAGAAGUAGAGCAGGGGCCCUCGUCCUGGCAGCGGUCACGUCCGAAGGACCGAAGGUCGCAGGACCCCGGUGUUGUCUCUAGCUGCUUCUCGUCCUCCCACUUUGGUUUGGCUUGGGUACCUGGGGGCCCCGGUAAAGCCAGGCACCGAAUUGCGCACACAGCCAGUGUUACUGUCAUUUGCUUCCUGUCUCCUCUCAGAAGAAAGUGGACGGCGCCAGCCUCUCAGCAGCUGGGCCUCAGAGAAGAAUUGCCCUGCAGAAUGGUUGUGCUCCUCUGAGAGGCUCAUCAGCCGUUGUGCUCCUCUGAGAGGCUCUCAGUGCUGAGUCACCGUAUCGGUCCACCUCCUGGGGGUGCGCAGAACUCUGCACCAUGCCGGCGGCUCCUGGACACCCUCGCUGGGGAGGAGGGGUUAUUCUAGCUGUGUGUUCCCUUAACUAAACUCAGGAGUAGAGUAGAAAGAGGCCCUUAACCCUUCCGCAGUGCUGGCCUUUCAAUAGCUAGUCAGCAGCUUCUUCAGUAAAUCGAAUGAGAAACACGCGCCCAGCGAGGUGCUCUUUGAAGAAGGCCUACUGAGGCAGGCUCUUGUAGUUGGGGCUGUUAUUUUGAUGGAGCAUGCGCUUUUCCCCAACUCCUUCUUUAUCAGCUGCUGCUGUCUCACCUUAGAUCCAGUCUACGGAUGUGUGUAGUUCUCCUUUUUGCAUUAGAUUUGUCAGGAUUAAGUUUGUUUCCUCCUUUUUCUGGAAGACAGACCAUAAUGCCAUUAGUGGGUGAAAUUGACUGUAAUACGUAUUGCCAUUUAGGCUGAGGGUUAAAUGUGGCACCUUGAGGACUAAAGCCCAGGCAUACGCUUCCUGGGGAUGCCGGGACUAGAAGCAGACCUUCCUUCUCUGUUGCUCUGUUGUCGACUUCACUGCCCCCAGGUUUCCUGGUUAAAACCAUAGGCUGCUACUGGCCUUGCUCUGUUGUCGACUUCACUGUCCCCAGGUUUCCUGGUUAAAACCAUAGGCCUGCUACUGGCCUGACGCCCAUCAUCCUAUCGACUGAUCCUU